GAUGAAGAACGUAGCGAAAUGCGAUAAGUAAUGUGAAUUGCAGAAUUCAGUGAAUCAUCGAAUUUUUGAACGCACAUUGCGCCCGCCAGUAUUCUGGCGGGCAUGCCUGUUCGAGCGUCAUUUCAACCCUCAGGCCCCCAGUGCCUGGUGUUGGGGAUCGGCCCAGCCUUCCUGUAAGGCCGCCGGCCCCGAAAUCUAGUGGCGGUCUCGCUGUAGUCCUCCUCUGCGUAGUAGCACAACCUCGCAGUUGGAACGCGGCGGUGGCCAUGCCGUUAAACACCCCACUUCUGAAAGUUGACCUCGGAUCAGGUAGGAAUACCCGCUGAACUUAAGCAUAUCAAUAAGCGGAGGA
This 352-nucleotide unclassified non-coding RNA is filed under the name soil metagenome. RNAcentral describes it as "partial contains 5.8S ribosomal RNA, internal transcribed spacer 2, and large subunit ribosomal RNA". The stretch from base 1 to 120 matches the Rfam family "5.8S ribosomal RNA", at positions 35 to 154 of the family's 154-position model. The record is from RNAcentral.